AGGCGCGUAGCUCAGCUGGUUAGAGCACCACCUUGACAUGGUGGGGGUCGUUGGUUCGAAUCCAAUCGCGCCUACCA
Molecule: transfer RNA, 77 nt
Filed under: Comamonas sp.
Lineage: Bacteria; Pseudomonadati; Pseudomonadota; Betaproteobacteria; Burkholderiales; Comamonadaceae
Also listed under: 19 other names
Description: tRNA-Val
Rfam family: tRNA
About the family: Transfer RNA (tRNA) molecules are approximately 80 nucleotides in length. Their secondary structure includes four short double-helical elements and three loops (D, anti-codon, and T loops).
Source: RNAcentral